CGGAGGCAGCAGUGAGGAAUAUUGCUCAAUGGGCGAAAGCCUGAAGCAGCAACGCCGCGUGCGCGAUGAAGGCCUUCGGGUCGUAAAGCGCUUUUGAGAGGGACGAGAUAGGACGGUACCUCUUGAAUAAGUCACGGCUAACUACGUGCCAGCAGCCGCGGUAAAACGUAGGUGGCAAGCGUUAUCCGGAUUCAUUGGGCGUAAAGCGCGUGCAGGUGGCUUUGUAAGUUGGACGUUAAAUCUCCCAGCCUAACUGGGAGUGGUCGUUCAAUACUGCGAGGCUUGAGGGCAGAAGAGGGGGGUGGAAUUGCUGGUGUAGUGGUGAAAUGCGUAGAUAUCAGCAGGAACACCUGUGGCGAAAGCGGCCCCCUGGUUUGCUCCUGACACUCAGACGCGAAAGCUAGGGGAGUGAACGGGAUUAGAUACCCCGGU
RNAcentral lists this ribosomal RNA (432 nucleotides) under uncultured bacterium. RNAcentral describes it as "bacterial SSU rRNA". It matches the Rfam family "Bacterial small subunit ribosomal RNA", at positions 343 to 791 of the family's 1533-position model. The record is from RNAcentral.